AUUGAACGCUGGCGGCAUGCCUUACACAUGCAAGUCGAACGGCAGCACGGGAGCAAUCCUGGUGGCGAGUGGCGAACGGGUGAGUAAUAUAUCGGAACGUGCCCAGUGUGGGGGAUAACGUUCGGAAACGGACGCUAAUACCGCAUACGUCCUACGGGAGAAAGCGGGGGAUCUUCGGACCUCGCGCCAUUAGAUGAGCCUAGGUCGGAUUAGCUAGUUGGUGAGGUAAUGGCUCACCAAGGCGACGAUCCGUAACUGGUCUGAGAGGAUGAUCAGUCACACUGGAACUGAGACACGGUCCAGACUCCUACGGGAGGCAGCAGUGGGGAAUAUUGGACAAUGGGCGAAAGCCUGAUCCAGCCAUGCCGCGUGUGUGAAGAAGGCCUUAGGGUUUGUAAAGGCUCUUUUUACCAGGGAUGAUAAUGACAGUACCUGGAGAAUAAGCUCCGGCUAACUCCGUGCCAGCAGCCGCGGU
This 475-nucleotide ribosomal RNA is filed under the name uncultured bacterium. Its description in RNAcentral is "bacterial SSU rRNA". It matches the Rfam family "Bacterial small subunit ribosomal RNA", at positions 30 to 521 of the family's 1533-position model. The record is from RNAcentral.